This 88-nucleotide transfer RNA is filed under the name Stygiolobus caldivivus. RNAcentral describes it as "Stygiolobus sp. KN-1 tRNA-Ala". It matches the Rfam family "tRNA". Rfam says of the family: Transfer RNA (tRNA) molecules are approximately 80 nucleotides in length. Their secondary structure includes four short double-helical elements and three loops (D, anti-codon, and T loops). The record is from RNAcentral. Lineage: Archaea; Thermoproteati; Thermoproteota; Thermoprotei; Sulfolobales; Sulfolobaceae.
GGGCCGGUAGCUCAGCCUGGAAGAGUGCUCGGUUGGCAUCACUGAGCCAAACUCCGAGAGGUCCCGGGUUCAAAUCCCGGCCGGUCCA